Molecule: long non-coding RNA, 7872 nt
Organism: Gasterosteus aculeatus aculeatus (three-spined stickleback)
Lineage: Eukaryota; Metazoa; Chordata; Actinopteri; Perciformes; Gasterosteidae
Source: Ensembl
CCAUCUCUCCUCCACCACCCCACUCUGUCCCCCGUCCCCCUCCCCACAUGCAAACACCCAUCCCCGGAUCUUUGCCGUCGGAGCUUGAACAGUGUGGCGAAUGGUAAUAUUUAGCUGUUGACAAAAUAUGUAUGUGGCUGUAGCGGGAAAACUGGAAACGGGGGGUUGGGGGGCUUUGCAGAGAGACAAAGAUGGAGAAAGCUGGGAAAGAACGGGAGAGACAGGAGAGGAAGCUGGGAGGGGGCAGCUAAAGCAGAUGGUACGCUUGGCAUCCACCUCUCUCUUAAAUCUGUUUCUGCUGUUUUUCUCAUGUGCAAGAGGCUUUAACCCUGCGGUAACCUGUGUCCCGGCCUGACCCCGCACCCCACUGCUGUACGUAACAAGCCCCUGUGGGUGUGUGUGUGUGUGUGUACACACACACACACACACACACAGGUUCAUCUCUAAUCGGCACCCUAUGGAAACGAGCUGUUUAACUGUCAUGAGUGAGAGCAGCCUCCACUUCUUCUUUUCCUUCAUUUAUUCCACGGCUGCAGUUGCCUUUGGUGUGAGUUCAUACAAUAUAAUGUGUAAAUCCGUAGAGACUAAUGCAUUAAUUCAAUCUAAUGCAUAAUAUGCCACUGAAGUACUUCAAUCAAUUUAACUGCAAUUAGUUUAACAUUACUUGAUGUUUGCCUUGAAUACAGUAUUUCCACUUUAAAUAGUUUUUAUUAUUUUAGGAUUAUAAUUGCACUCACAAAAUCAGUUCAGAAAACAAGAAAACAAUUGUUGUAGAUUCAACCGUUAUAUGAAUGAAUUGAUAAUAUGUACAUAUUAAUAGAUCAAUAACAGUGAUCCGAUAACGUCUUCACUGUGUGGUUUUUCUACUUCCACUUACAGCCUGAACACUUCCUCCUCUGGUUCACAUGGCACACAUUCUCCACCCACCGCUACGCUCCAUUAGUUUGUUUUGAGCUUCGUAUCAGACGAACAACUUAUCAUUAUCUCAGCCAUGCAAGCUCAGCAAAUAUUUUUUUCUGGUGGUCUUUUCUUUUCAUUUUUUUUAAUGGCAGAUUCUGAAAAGCAACAAUAAGACGCUGCAGCCGGGUGUCUGAUGGAGCAAAUAUUGUGGAGUGCUUCACCCACCUGGGACGUGCAGUGUGUAUUUAGGCCACAUCCGCCUCUCACUGAGGAGGAACAUUCAUGCCGCCGACUCCCGUGCGCGCUCCCAUAGACGGACUAUAGAUCUGACUGAAUGCACAUCACUUAUAUGUGGGGUGCCGUGGAGCUGGGAGCUCAUUUGCAUAAUCUCCCAUUUAAAGAGGGAUGUGCUGGAAGCCGGGUGGGGGGUUGAUGGGAAGGGCUCGGGUGGGUAGUUUGGAGAGGGUGGGGGGGUGUACAAAGUGCCCAUUGUGCAGUCCCAGGAUAGGGAAAAUGCCCCGUAGGGCCUGAUUUGUGAUUGUGUGUGUGUGUGUGUGUGUGUGUGUGUGUGUGUGUGUGUGUGUGUGUGUGUGUGUGUGUGUGUGUGUGUGUGUGUGUUGCUGGAUAUAGGUUGUGGUCUGUGAGCACGAGUUGGCGCGCAAAGUUGAACUUUGCGGCUGUCCCGGCUUUCUUACCAGCGCCUAAACAUUCAGCCGAGGUUGGCACAAGAUGCCCAUUGAGCGCACACACACUCACGUAUGCAAUCGUAUCCUUUAUAAGGUGGCCACCAAUGUCAUGGCAACCCCAUAUACUCAGCAAGAGGGAAGAUGCACUGUGCCAAAAAAAUGCCAUGGUAACUUUUUUUUUUUUUUAAUCCACGUUGCCCAGAAACCUUUGUAGCUUAUUAAGUGAAACCAGUAGACAAAUGGACUGAGAGCGAGGGGGGAGGGAGAGAGAAAGAUGGGAUUGCGUGCUGUUCCAGGGCCAAAGUGGCUCUUUGUUUUAGGGAAGGGAGCAUUGUGAACCUGCAGUGAGGAGGCACAGAUAGCUCGCUUACACUGCUUUCACUCAGGGGUUUUCAGAUUAGUUAAUUUAAAGUUCUUUCUACUACGAUUAAAGCUGCAAAUAUGAAUUGUUUGGUUGUAAACUAAUGAUUGAACUGACCAACCCUUUUGAUAAUUGAGGAAUCACUGUUUUUUAUUUUCUUUUUUUCACUAACAUCUUUUUUUUCAAUACAAAAAAGGGAAUAUUUUUGUUAGUCCUUCUCUCUGACAGUCAACUUUUUAAACAGAGAUGUCACCUUUGGGCUUUGGGGACCGCUGAUUGGCAUUUGCACCAUCUUCUGACAUUUGAUACCAAACAACUAUCAGAUUAAUAGAGACUCAUGAAGCCACGAUGGUGGAUUGAGUUGUGAGCCAUGUGCUGCACACACAUGCGUAGUUAUGUGUGCAAUCGCAUUUCUACUCAUGAUUAUUAAGCUGCAUGCAAAGUGCGUGCGUGCGCAUCUCUCUGUGCAGGUGGGGGUGUGCGCGUGCCCUUUACAGUGUAAUUAAAUCAGCCUAUUUCUCCUUGAGUUAGCUCGCGGCGCCAGCGGUGCUGCCCAGAGAGACGGUGUCGGGCUCUGCCAGUUUCAUUAGUCCUGAUGGAUGACCUCAUGACAAGCAUUACGCUCACCUGCACUUCAAAAAGAGCACACAUCGACUUUGGACCAGUGGAAAAGGGAAUGUGUGCGCUUGUGUACUUAUGCCAAGGGGAACAACAGCAAGACUAUUUUAUUUCAUGCCCUGGUGCCCUGAAACUACUAAGUGUGUAUGUGUGUGUGUGUGUGUGUGUGUGUGUGUGUGUGUGUGUGUGUGUGUGUGUGUGUGUGUUGUAUGCAGACAUGUGAACAAUUACUUCUUGAUGUGUUUAAUCGUGUGUGUGAAAGUACAGUAUGCAAGCACCAGUGUGAGCUGGUUGUCCCCCUGUUCACUGUGUGUGACGGCGUCGCUGUGCGCAUGUGCGCCUGCACUGUGCACCGGGGGGCAGGCCUCUGCGCUUAGUUUUGAUUUUUUGGUGGCGAUUUCCAUAUUGCCUGGGGUCAUGUGGGCACCGUGCCCACUCCCGGUGCUGUGGGUGCCCGCUGAGGCGUGGGGAGAUUAAAGCGGGCGCACGGUGCCACAAAGGGGCCUGUCUAGUGCUUUUUAAUUCCCCUAAAUUAGGGCACGGUGCCAAGGCGGCUCCCUGCUCCGGCAAACACUCCAUAACUGGCACCGUAACUACUGCUCAGCACGACACACACAGAGAGAGAGAGAUGCUGAAGACUUGCAGAAAACAUUCCCUCACUCUCUCUUUUUCACACACUUGCUUGCUUACUUGUAAUUAGCGAACCGUUUCUGGUUUGCAGGGAGACUGCUUCGGUAAUUCGCUGUCAUUCACAUCGCUCCGGCCCUAUUCACUGAGUUUGGUUGCAGUGAUGUCAAAAGCACCAGUGGAGUGGGCACAAAGUGUGUGUGUCUGCAUGUAGUUUUUCUGUGUGUAUGUGUGUGUAAAUCUGCACACCCCCAGGGCAGUGGCACGCUACUAAAGAAACAGUAGGUGGACGCUUGGUUGGUAUUUGUGUGUGUGUCUCUUUGUGUGUGUGUGUGUGGAUUCAUGCCCUCGGGGUAGUGGCGUGCUGCUGAAGGGCCAGUGCGCGGACACUGGGUUGUGUGUGUAUGUCAGGUCUCUGAGGUCCUCUUCUCUGUCUGUCUCAUCCAAAUGCACUUUCGUUGGCUGCAGGACUUGCUGUCAGAGCGCUGCCAGGGCCGACCGCUUCCUCAUCGCAUCUCUGAUAGUUUAUACGUUCCCGCCGUUUGAUCCGCCGUUUCCACCAGGUCACUUUCAUUACACUGAAGCACAUUCCGGGCUCUUUGCUUUGUCGUGUCUGCAUUUUCUGCUCCUGUCUAAUGUUCACUCAGCAUGUGAAGUUGUGAUGAGCGUUUGCAGAGAGAAUAUAUGGCGUUUGCGUGUGCGUCUGUUUGCGCGUGCGUGCCGGUCUGAAUACAAACACCGGCGUUAAUCCCAGUCCCUCCCAGUCCCUCCCAGCAUCUGGAGCCUUGACACAGUUUAAAGGGCUGGCUGUGUCCGCACAGAGCCGGGCCAGUGCUCACACACACACACACACAGACACACACACGCACGCACACAUUCACACAGCUAUCUAGGGCACCAGAAGGCCCAGGCACCGCCAAGGCAGAGGCUGCCCACUUUGGCACCACGAGGUGGGGCUGCACUGGCGCUUUGGGGGACAGCGAGAAAUGUGUGUGUGUGUUUGGUGGGAGAGAGGACUGGGUGGGGGUUAGGUGUGUGUGUGUGUGUGUGUGUGUGUAGACGGGAGGGGGGGCACCUGGCAUUCGAUAACAACCCUGGGAAAACGCCCAUUGCAUCUGAAGAGGAAGGUGCAUAGGGAGGGGGUGGUGGGGUGGGUAUAGUGUGUGUGUGUGUGUGUGUGUGUGUGUGUGUGUGUGUGUGUGUGUGUGUGUGUGUGUGUGUGUGUGGAAGGCACCAACCUGUCUUGGAGCGACCCAUCCUAGUGUUCUUAUGCUAAUGUUGUUUCUGUCGUAGCUUGGAGGACAGGUGCUACUUUUCAUCCACAGCUUGGCAUCGACAAAGAAGAAGAAGAAGAAGAAGAAGAAGAAGAAGAAGAAGAAGAAGAAGAACAGGAAGAGAUGCCUUCUUGUUCCUCAUUACUUUCCCUCUCGCUCUCUCUCGUCUGCCCCUAAAGUAACCCUCCACCUGCCCACAAAGGUCCAAUAAUAAUCCCCGAAACUUUAGGACACACACAAACCUACAUAUGCACAGAGGGCAGAGACGGGGUACUAUCUCCCUCUCUUGAAGCCGUUUGUGCCCCCUGCAAACAACCUCCCCCCCACCACACGCACACAGCCCCCGUACUAUACCCUCUCCUAUGUAGCACCACAGAUGCCCAUGUUGCCCUGCAACAGCUGUCUCACCAUGUGCCCUACCAAGUGUUGCCACCCAAUGGAGGGGAGAGGAAGUAAGGAGGGAGGGAGGGUGCUGGAUUUGGAUGGGAGGGACAGGGUCAUGAAUAUUAAUUUAGCUUUUUUCAUGCUAAAAAAAAGAAAAAAGGAAGCCGUUGUCAUGCUUUGUCUUGAUCAUCAUUGUAUAGUCUCAUUUUGUUUCAUUGCGUGGACUCAGUGUUUGUGUUUCCUCUUCUCCCUCAGUCUCUCUGAGUCGUCUGUCUCUCUCAUUUGGUUCUGGACUCGGUCGAUGUGAUGGCCAGCGCCCACCCUAAUACCCUACUACUAUAACCCCCCCACUCCGAAUCACAGGAAGCCCAUGCAAGCAGAGUGCAGAAGGAGGGGUCUUCGGACCGAGGGGCGCCCUCCCAUUGGUGCGGCAGGUUAGCGGCACGGGCGUUGACCAAUGAUCAGAAGAGGGACGCAUGGUAACAGCAGGGCGCAGAGAUGUGAGGGUAUUUUCAAAUGCAAACACUGGUCCAACAAGUCAGGUGCAGGAUCCAGACUGGAUUCAGUGACAGAACAAAAUGGAGGACCGGGAGACGAUGCGCCGCCAUUUUGAGGCACAAUAUUUUGGGUAUGCGUGCCAUGUGUCCUAAUCACGCAGAAAUAACCGUUGUAGACUUCAGGGGGAAGCCAGGGCACGAAAAAGGACUUCAGAGCAACUUUGCUUGUUUGCUAAAAGAAAGAAAUCUCAAAUGGCGAAACAAUAAAUUAAUAUUUAACAGUAUAUAUCUUUUUUUUGCACUUUCAGAAAACAAUGUGAUUGUUCAAGGUGUCACAGUCACCACUAAGCCUCUCUAAGCAUUCUGCUAAUUACUCAAAAUUCUGUUGCAGGCUGACAUCUGCGCUCACAGAGAUCGCCAUACCUGUGAUUAUUCUUUUUUUAAUUCUGAAAUUGGAAAAGUAAAGCAAACGAGGCGCAAGCGAUGCCAGGACAGAUGGAUCCAAGAGUGGAGCACUAUCCGAGAAACCGAUGCCACGUACACACACCCCCCUCCACCCGUGGUCCCUUGCUUCAUGUUAAAUAGAUGCAGCCGAGCACCGGAGACGCCCAAUUAAAGAAAACUAAUAUUCAAAAAAAGUUUUUUUUUUUUUUUAAGUAAAUGGGAAAAGUUGUGUGCGCGUGUGGCGCGGCCCGCUGCCUGUGUGUUUGUUCGUUUAAUUUUGAGGGGAUGAAAGCAGACAAGCAUAAAGAGGGGCAGACGUAGAGAGAUCACCACGCCGUGUACCGUAUUGGUGGGUAGCGUGCCACACAGUCUGCCUCCUAAAGCAAUAAAUCUGAAACAGCAUAAUAGAUAAACGCAACUCAGAACACAAAAUACCCUGCGAGGGAAAACUAAUAAAAAACGGAGCGAUUAAGUGGAAUCAGAGCUCUUAGGCAGUAUCUGGAGAUGGGGGGCUGUCACUAUACAAAGACCAGAUCGGGCCAACACAACAGAUGAGAGAGCAUAGGGACGGGGGGCCGAGAAAACGAGGGCUAAAAGCAGAGGGAGCGAGAGGCAGAUGAUGGAGGCGAGGAAGCGAGGGAUGGAGGAGAGAGAGAGAGAGAAGGGAUGGAUGGGGCAGCAGAUCAGAGGGAGCCUCUAGUGUGUCUUGCUCUCCCUUUAAAGAAGAGCCAGGAAAACAGAUUAGGAGUCCUCUUUUCUCCUGGGGGAGCACACACACACACACACACACACGCAAACACACGCAACCUCCAUUCAGCCGCUCUCCUUCUUCACGUAAACAUGGAACUAACUAACUUUUUACACGGCGCCCUCCGCUGACCUGCCCGGCCCAGAACAAAUCCACUCUGCGCUGAAGACAUGUCCCGUUUGCAGAGUGGGCGGAGACACGGGGACACAAUGGCAACUUGUGUGUGUGUGUGUGUGUGUGUGUGUGUGUGUGUGUGUGUGCGUGCGGCAGUUUAGGGUGACCUCACAUCAGGUCACGUUUGCUCACUGGUUAUGAAACAAAGAAGAGUGAUGUCAGGGAGUGUCUCACAAAUACAGGCCGCAGUGUGUCAGUGUGUCCUUGAGAGCAGGUUGAGCUUCUGCCAUUUGAACGGCAUUUAAUGAUAUUACUGAGAAUAUGUUGGUAAAUUACAAAAUUACAGAACACUGCUGCAAACAACUUCACAAACAAUAGAUGUGACCAUUGUAUUCAUGACAUGAAUUCAUUAUUAGUUCAGUUUAUGACUGCCCGUCAUUAAAAGAUUUUUUAAAUUGAUUUAAAAUCCAAUAAUAUACAAAAUUAAAAUUAAAUAACAGCAAAUCAUCACAUUGGAGAAAUGGUUUCUGGACCUAUGCCUUAAAAUACGUGAAUCAAUUAUAGGUGACAUUUUUUUAUAUAUUUUAGCAUUUAGGCAUUUGUCUGAGUAACUAUGGUGAUUAAGAUUUAUGGCCCCUCUCAUUAAAAAGUAUUGCUAUAGUUAAAUAUUUGCAGUAUCACUAACGGCGUUUGUGGCAACAUAUCCAGAAGAAAAAAAUACAGUUAAACAGUUUUGCAUAUAAUGUAAUACUAUGUUUUAGGUUAUUUUAAAUCAACCAGGUUUAAAAUACCUUUAAUAUUUAAAUAGCCGCAACGGUAUUUUUGCUGAUCAUCUAAAAACGUUGAGUAUUAUUUCAAACAAUAAUCUGUUGGGCACUGUUUGUUUUUUUUGAAGAUCCAAAAAUCAAGCUCAUGCUUCAUCAGUGUGCGUGUGCGUGAGCCCAGUCGGUCAUUUAUGAGCCACAACGACACGCUCGUCCCAGAAGGGUUCAGAGUGAGGUGUUCGUUGACGUGAAAGCAGCCAGAUGCAUCACUUCUCUUACUAAGUGUUAUUAGUCAAAUGUGCUUCAAACAUCCAGGCAUACAGCUCAUUUAGCACUACAUACAUAUAUAAUCCUAUUUAGAGCAUUACUGAUUAUGUUUGGUGUGAAAAUAUGAAUGCAAAGUGGAGUAAGUUGCUUAGCAGAAGUUUAAGAAAGCAGAUAAAGAAAAUACUCAC